AAGCGUGCGCAGGCGGUUUUGUAAGACUGUCGUGAAAUCCCCGGGCUCAACCUGGGAAUGGCGAUGGUGACUGCAAGGCUAGAGUUUGGCAGAGGGGGGUAGAAUUCCACGUGUAGCAGUGAAAUGCGUAGAUAUGUGGAGGAACACCGAUGGCGAAGGCAGCCCCCUGGGUCAAAACUGACGCUCAUGCACGAAAGCGUGGGGAGCAAACAGGAUUAGAUACCCGUAGU
This 230-nucleotide ribosomal RNA is filed under the name uncultured bacterium. RNAcentral's name for it is "partial 16S ribosomal RNA". It matches the Rfam family "Bacterial small subunit ribosomal RNA", at positions 563 to 794 of the family's 1533-position model. The record is from RNAcentral.